UUAGAGACCCUUCUUCAAAUUUGAUCUAUAAUUCUACAAUAAUUAAUUUCUCCUUUUUAUUUAGUUAGUACCAAAUCUUAUAUGGUGCUUGUCUCAAUUCAUUUUUAAUUUUGAAUAUUGAAUUACAUGUUUAUGUUUGUUUGUUAGCAAUGGAUCUGGUUAUGAUUUUGGGGAGCUAGAAGAAGCAAUAGGCAAGGAGAUAAGUGUAGAAAUGAUGAGAAAAAAAGCAUGUACCAAGCCAUGCAAUCAGACCAAACUACAAAUAGAAAUUGUGCAAUGCAGUUUCCAGAAAAGCAUAAUCAUCAAGAAGAGAUAGCUGACAGAUUGAAUGUGAAAUAAAGAAGCUUGUUGAUGAACCAAUUUUAUUCUCUGAAAAUGGUGGGGAUUGAGAAGGAAGUGAAGAAAGAAAGAAAGAAAUGGGAGCUGUGGAUUUGGCAGUGAUCAAAGCAAAACUACUUUUAUUUAUAGAAAAUGUUGAAGUGAAG
This 485-nucleotide long non-coding RNA is filed under the name Medicago truncatula (barrel medic). RNAcentral describes it as "lncRNA gene14694". The record is from RNAcentral. Lineage: Eukaryota; Viridiplantae; Streptophyta; Magnoliopsida; Fabales; Fabaceae.